RNAcentral lists this ribosomal RNA (440 nucleotides) under uncultured bacterium. Its description in RNAcentral is "partial 16S ribosomal RNA". It matches the Rfam family "Bacterial small subunit ribosomal RNA", at positions 338 to 795 of the family's 1533-position model. The record is from RNAcentral.
CCUACGGGUGGCAGCAGUAGGGAAUCUUUCACAAUGGGCGAAAGCCUGAUGGAGCAACGCCGCGUGCAGGAUGAAGGCCUUCGGGUUGUAAACUGCUUUUAUAAGCGAGAAAUAUGAUGGUAACUUAUGAAUAAGGAUCGGCUAACUACGUGCCAGCAGCCGCGGUAAUACGUAGGUGGCAAGCGUUGUCCGGAAUUACUGGGUGUAAAGGGAGCGUAGGCGGGAUGUCAAGUCAGAAGUGAAAAUUAUGGGCUCAACUCAUAACCUGCUUUUGAAACUGAUAUUCUUGAGUGAAGUAGAGGCAAGCGGAAUUCCUAGUGUAGCGGUGAAAUGCGUAGAUAUUAGGAGGAACACCAGUGGCGAAGGCGGCUUGCUGGGCUUUUACUGACGCUGAGGCUCGAAAGCGUGGGGAGCAAACAGGAUUAGAUACCCGUGUAGUC